GGGGGGGGGGGGGGGGGGGGGGGGGGGGGGGGGGGGGGGGGGUGGAGGAGGGGCUGGCGCUUCGUGGAUGAGUUGCGGACGGGUGAGGAACGCGGAGGUAACCUGCCUGGUAGCGGGGGAGAACGAUUGGAAACGAUAGCUGAUACCGCAUAAUAGUAGAUGUUGCAUGACAUUUGCUUAAAAGGUGCAAUUGCAUCACUACCAGAUGGACCUGCGUUGUAUUAGCUAGUUGGUGAGGUAACGGCUCACCAAGGCAACGAUACAUAGCCGACCUGAGAGGGUGAUCGGCCACACUGGGACGGAGACACGGCCCAGACUCCUACGGGAGGCAGCAGUAGGGAAGCUUCGGCAAUGGACGGAAGUCUGACCGAGCAACGCCGCGUGAGUGAAGAAGGUUUUCGGAUCGUAAAGCUCUGUUGUAAGAGAAGAACGAGUGUGAGAGUGGAAAGUUCACACUGUGACGGUAUCUUACCAGAAAGGGACGGCUAACUACGUG
Molecule: ribosomal RNA, 496 nt
Filed under: uncultured bacterium
Lineage: Bacteria
Description: partial 16S ribosomal RNA
Rfam family: Bacterial small subunit ribosomal RNA
Source: RNAcentral